AUUGAACGCUGGCGGCAGGCCUAACACAUGCAAGUCGAGCGGAUGAAGGGAGCUUGCUCCUGGAUUCAGCGGCGGACGGGUGAGUAAUGCCUAGGAAUCUGCCUGGUAGUGGGGGAUAACGUCCGGAAACGGGCGCUAAUACCGCAUACGUCCUGAGGGAGAAAGUGGGGGAGCUUCGGACCUCACGCUAUCAGAUGAGCCUAGGUCGGAUUAGCUAGUUGGUGGGGUAAAGGCCUACCAAGGCGACGAUCCGUAACUGGUCUGAGAGGAUGAUCAGUCACACUGGAACUGAGACACGGUCCAGACUCCUGCGGGAGGCAGCAGUGUGGAAUAUUGGACAAUGGGCGAAAGCCUGAUCCAGCCAUGCCGCGUGUGUGAAGAAGGUCUUCGGAUUGUAAAGCCCUUUAAGUUGGGAGGAAGGGCAGUAAGUUAAUACCUUGCUGUUUUGACGUUACCAACAGAAUAAGCACCGGCUAACUUCGUG
Molecule: ribosomal RNA, 484 nt
Filed under: uncultured bacterium
Lineage: Bacteria
Description: partial 16S ribosomal RNA
Rfam family: Bacterial small subunit ribosomal RNA
Source: RNAcentral